Molecule: long non-coding RNA, 607 nt
Filed under: Homo sapiens (human)
Lineage: Eukaryota; Metazoa; Chordata; Mammalia; Primates; Hominidae
Description: LNC_000206
Source: RNAcentral
GGGGGAAACAGGGACUCUCGCUAGGCCAGAGUCCCUGCUAGAGCGCUUCCUACUCAGCAGUUCGAAUCCCAGUUUCCACACAGAAGAGAUGGGGCCAGGCUCCCCGCUCUGCAAACAUCGUGAACUUCCUGAGACUCCACCCCUGUGGGCAGGGUGGUUGGAGUUUCUUCAGGGACUCCUUCCCAUGUGGCUGUCUCAAUGCUGUGGCUACGUUCAUGUAUUUAGUUACCUAUGUGAUGAGCUACAGCAACUACUCAGAAUCAGCAGAAAGAUAGCUCUGCAAUUUGGCAUCCUCAGCAAGAAUAUGCAGGAAUGCUCAGGGCCUGUGGUGAACUAACUCUGCCUAGAGUGUGCCCCUGGUGAUAUUUGUUUGCAAGUCAUUGACAGAAGUGAAGUUUCCACCAAGAUUCAGCUGAGACCUUGCCGCUGCAGGCUAAGAUCCUCAACUCUCUAGUGUGGACGUCACAUCUGGAAUCUUGUGUCUUCUGAUUGAGGCCCCCUGGCACACAGUGAGGAGGACCACAGUUAAUCUUCUCAUGAUUUAUACUUCCUAUAUUUCCUAUGUUGGUUUUAUGAGUUAAAUAAAUUAUCAUUGCUUCUACGACAU